This 106-nucleotide small RNA is filed under the name Marmota monax (woodchuck). The record is from RNAcentral. Lineage: Eukaryota; Metazoa; Chordata; Mammalia; Rodentia; Sciuridae.
GCUGGGUGUGGUGCACAUGCCUGUCAUCUCAGCUACCCAGGAGGCUGAGGCAGGAGGAUCGUAAAUUCAAGGACAGCCUGAGUCACUUAGCGAGACCCUGUCUCAA